CCUACGGGUGGCAGCAGUGGGGAAUAUUGCACAAUGGGGGAAACCCUGAUGCAGCGACGCCGCGUGAGUGAAGAAGUAUUUCGGUAUGUAAAGCUCUAUCAGCAGGAACGAGACAAGACGGUACCUGACUAAGAAGCCCCGGCUCACUACGUGCCAGCAGCCGCGGUAAUACGUAGGGGGCAAGCGUUAUCCGGAAUCACUGGGGGUAAUGGGAGCGUAGGCGGCUGAGCAAGCCUGAAGUGAAAGUCGGGGGGCCAACCCCCGGACUGCUUGGGGAACUGUACGGCUGGAGUGCAGGAGAGGUAAGUGGAAUUCCUAGUGUAGCGGUGAAAUGCGUAGAUAUUAGGAGGAACACCAGUGGCGAAGGCGGCUUACUGGACUGUAACUGACGUUGAGGCUCGAAAGCGUGGGGAGCAAACAGGAUUAGAUACCCGGGUAGUC
This 441-nucleotide ribosomal RNA is filed under the name uncultured bacterium. RNAcentral's name for it is "partial 16S ribosomal RNA". It matches the Rfam family "Bacterial small subunit ribosomal RNA", at positions 338 to 795 of the family's 1533-position model. The record is from RNAcentral.